RNAcentral lists this ribosomal RNA (515 nucleotides) under uncultured bacterium. Its description in RNAcentral is "partial 16S ribosomal RNA". It matches the Rfam family "Bacterial small subunit ribosomal RNA", at positions 28 to 523 of the family's 1533-position model. The record is from RNAcentral.
GAUGAACGCUGGCGGCGUGCCUAAUACAUGCAAGUCGAGCGAAUGGAUUAAGAGCUUGCUCUUAUGAAGUUAGCGGCGGACGGGUGAGUAACACGUGGGUAACCUGCCCAUAAGACUGGGAUAACACCGGGAAACCGGGGCUAAUACCGGAUAACAUUUUGAACCGCCUGGUUCGAAAUUGAAAGGCGGCUUCGGCUGUACUCUAUGGCUGGACCCGCGUCGCAUUAGCUAGUUGGUGAGGUAACGGCUCACCAAGGCAACGAUGCGUAGCCGACCUGAGAGGGUGAUCGGCCACACUGGGACUGAGACACGGCCCAGACUCCUACGGGAGGCAGCAGUAGGGAAUCUUCCGCAAUGGACGAAAGUCUGACGGAGCAACGCCGCGUGAGUGAUGAAGGCUUUCGGGUCGUAAAACUCUGUUGUUAGGGAAGAACAAGUGCUAGUUGAAUAAGCUGACACCUUGACGGUACCUAACCAGAAAGCCACGGCUAACUACGUGCCAGCCGCCGCGGUAA